CAUAGCGACUAUCGUGGCAUAUCAAUAAGCGGAGGAAAAGAAACUAACAAGGAUUCCCUUAGUAACGGCGAGUGAAGCGGGAAGAGCUCAAAUUUGAAAUCUUCAAGGUUUUACCUUGACGAAUUGUAGUUUAAAGAAGUGUUUUCUGUUGAAGUUUUGGUAAAAGUUCUUUGGAAUAGGACAUCAUAGAGGGUGAGAAUCCCGUAUUUGACCAUUAUUUUCAGCUGUGUGAUACACUUUCAAAGAGUCGGAUUGUUUGGGAAUGCAGUCCAAAAUGGGUGGUAAAUUUCAUCUAAAGCUAAAUAUUGGCGAGAGACCGAUAGCGAACAAGUACCGUGAGGGAAAGAUGAAAAGAACUUUGAAAAGAGAGUUAAACAGUACGUGAAAUUGUCAAAAGGGAAGCGUUUGACACCAGUGUUGUUCUUCCGAAAAUCAAUUACGAAUGUUUUAUUUUUGAGGAGUUAUGACUUCAUCGGCUUGCUCCUUUCUUUAUGAAACUUUCUUAAUGCACUUUUCGGUUAACAAGUCAACAUCAAUUUCUUUUGUUGUAAAAGGGUAUGAGGAAGGUGGCUUUCUUUUCGGAGAAAGUGUUUAUAGCCUUGUGCCUCUGCAAUCGGAGAGAUUGAGGUCUGCAGCGUAGAUCCUUCGGGGUUAGAUACGUUUGUGCUAAGUUAUAGCUUUUCAUAGACAACUUGUUGACUAUGUUUAGUCUUGUAGCUUACUCGCUGACGCUAUUUUACCUACGCUUAGGAUGUUGAAGAUAUGCGCGACACG
This 774-nucleotide ribosomal RNA is filed under the name uncultured Neocallimastigales. Its description in RNAcentral is "partial large subunit ribosomal RNA". It matches the Rfam family "Eukaryotic large subunit ribosomal RNA", at positions 22 to 644 of the family's 3401-position model. Lineage: Eukaryota; Fungi; Neocallimastigomycota; Neocallimastigomycetes; Neocallimastigales. The record is from RNAcentral.